AUUACUUUGGCAGAUUAGUGCAUUAAAUUUAGAAUUUAAAAAUAAAUAAUUUUAUGUAAUA
RNAcentral lists this transfer RNA (61 nucleotides) under Eurytoma sp. ZJUH_2016013. Its description in RNAcentral is "tRNA-Leu". Lineage: Eukaryota; Metazoa; Arthropoda; Insecta; Hymenoptera; Eurytomidae. The record is from RNAcentral.